RNAcentral lists this ribosomal RNA (499 nucleotides) under uncultured Rhizophagus. RNAcentral's name for it is "eukaryotic LSU rRNA". It matches the Rfam family "Eukaryotic large subunit ribosomal RNA", at positions 268 to 633 of the family's 3401-position model. Lineage: Eukaryota; Fungi; Glomeromycota; Glomeromycetes; Glomerales; Glomeraceae. The record is from RNAcentral.
AGUUGUUUGGGAUUGCAGCUUAAAAUGGGAGGUAAAUUUCUCCUAAGGCUAAAUAUUGGUGAGAGACCGAUAGCGAACAAGUACCGUGAGGGAAAGAUGAAAAGUAUUUUGAAAAGAAGGUCAAAUAGUACGUGAAAUUGUUGAAAGGGAAACGAUUGAAGUCAGUCGUACCGACGAGCAAUCAGCCUUUUGGGUGCGAUUAUGUGGUACAUGAAAAGAUUUCGUGAAUUGCAUAUUUGUGCAUUUUGGGUGUAUUUGCUCGUAUGGUUGGUUAACAUCAAUUCUGGUCAUCAUAAAAUGACGGGAGGAAUGUAGCUUUCUCGGAAGUAUUAUAGCCUCUGGUAGAUGUGAUGAUUGGGAUUGAGGAUUGCAACGAAUACCCUCUGGGCUACCCGCCUGGUCUCUGGUCGUCGCUUUGGUGCCGAAAGCGUGCUUACGGUUUCAAAGUUAGGUGGCCAAAAGGUUAGAACGGGUUAAAUUCGUUAAGGAUGUUGACGUA